GCCUGAAUUAACCUGGAGAGGAAGCAGUGGCUAACUCCGUGCCAGCAGCCGCGGUAAUACGGAGACUGCAAGCGUUACUCGGAUUUACUGGGCGUAAAGGGUCCGUAGGCGGCCGUGUGUGUCGGGUGUGAAAUCCUGCAGCUUAACUGUAGCAUUGCGCCUCGAAACUACACGGCUAGAGUAUUGGAGAGGUGAGUGGAAUUCCAGGUGUAGCGGUGAAAUGCGUAGAUAUCUGGAGGAACACCAACGGCGAAGGCAGCUCACUGGACAAUGACUGACGCUGAGGGACGAAAGCGUGGGGAGCGAAAGGGAUUAGAUACCCCUGUAGUCCACGCCGUAAACUUUGUGCACUCGCUAUUGGCGGAUUCGACCCCGUCAGUGGCCAAGCUAACGCGAUAAGUGCACCGCCUGAGGACUACGGCCGCAAGGCUAAAACUCAAAGGAAUUGACGGGUCCCCGCACAAGCGGUGGAGCAUGUGGCUUAAUUCGAUGCAACGCGAAGAACCUUACCAGGUCUUGACAUGUAGCGGACCGGGGCAGAGAUGCCCCUUCUCUUCGGAGCCGCUUCACAGGUGCUGCAUGGCUGUCGUCAGCUCGUGUCGUGAGAUGUUCGGUUAAGUCCGUCAACGAGCGCAACCCCUGUCCUUAGUUGCCAGCAUUCAGUUGGGGACUCUAAGGAGACAAUCCCGCUUUUGCGGGAGGGAAGGUGGGGAUGAUGUCAAGUCAGUAUGGCCCUUACGGCCUGGGCUGCACACGUGCUACAAUGCCCGGUACAAUAGGUCGCUACUCCGCGAGGAGAUGCUAAUCCAGAAAGCCGGGCCCAGUUCGGAUUGGAGUCUGCAACUCGACUCCAUGAAGUCGGAAUCGCUAGUAAUGGCGCAUCAGCAAUGGCGCCGUGAAUACGUUCCCGGGGAUUGUACACACCGCCCGUCACAUCAUGAAAGCCGGUUUCGCCCGAAGUACGUGCGCCAACCCUCGUGGAGGCAGCGUCCGACGGU
This 998-nucleotide ribosomal RNA is filed under the name uncultured organism. RNAcentral's name for it is "bacterial SSU rRNA". It matches the Rfam family "Bacterial small subunit ribosomal RNA", at positions 467 to 1463 of the family's 1533-position model. The record is from RNAcentral.